CAGUGACACCAGUGACACCAGUGACACCAGUAUAACCAGUACAGGUACACCAGUGACACCAGUAUAACCAGUACAGGUACACCAGUGACACCAGUAUAACCAGUACAGUGACACCAGUGCUGCCGGUUCUGGGACACCAGUACACUGAUUCCAGUGUCCCCAGUCCAUCCCAGUCCAUCCCAUCCGUCCCAGUCCAUCCCAGUCCAUCCCAGUUUCCCCAGUCCAUCCCAGUCCGUCCCAGUCCAUCCCAGUCCCUCCCAGUCCGUCCCAGUCCAUCCCAGUCCCCCCCAGUCCGUCCCAGUCCAUCCCAGUCCCCCCCAGUCCGUCCCAGUCCAUCCCAGUCCGUCCCAGUCCAUCCCAGUCCCUCCCAGUCCAUCCCAGUCCGUCCCAGUCCAUCCCAGUCCCCCCCAGUCCGUCCCAGUCCAUCCCAG
Molecule: long non-coding RNA, 431 nt
Organism: Poecile atricapillus (Black-capped chickadee)
Lineage: Eukaryota; Metazoa; Chordata; Aves; Passeriformes; Paridae
Exons: 3
Source: RefSeq, a predicted model, not a curated record